GGAGAGGUCGCAUAGUCUGGUCUAGUGCGCACGAUUGGAAAUCGUGUAGGCGUAACAGCCUCGCGGGUUCAAAUCCCGCCCUCUCCGCCU
This 90-nucleotide transfer RNA is filed under the name Anaerolineae bacterium. RNAcentral's name for it is "tRNA-Ser". It matches the Rfam family "tRNA". From Rfam's summary of the family: Transfer RNA (tRNA) molecules are approximately 80 nucleotides in length. Their secondary structure includes four short double-helical elements and three loops (D, anti-codon, and T loops). Further hydrogen bonds mediate the characteristic L-shaped molecular structure. tRNAs have two regions of fundamental functional importance: the anti-codon, which is responsible for specific mRNA codon recognition, and the 3' end, to which the tRNAs corresponding amino acid is attached (by aminoacyl-tRNA synthetases). tRNAs cope with the degeneracy of the genetic code in two manners: having more than one tRNA (with a specific anti-codon) for a particular amino acid; and 'wobble' base-pairing, i.e. permitting non-standard base-pairing at the 3rd anti-codon position. RNAcentral also lists the same sequence under 1 other name. Lineage: Bacteria; Bacillati; Chloroflexota; Anaerolineae. The record is from RNAcentral.